CCAAGCAGAUAGACACAUAUUAAAGCAUCAGCAAUGUCACGAUUUGCAGAAAUUUUCUAAUUUCCAAGCAUUCAUUAAGACAUCACGAGUCAAGAACCACGAAAAGGGGGAGGAAAAUAAAAAAGAAUAGAUUACAACAUGGUACUAAGCCGAAGACAUCUUAGAUCGACAACAAAUCAGACCUGCCGGAGCACUCCUUGUGAGGGUUAUUUCUUGUUAUUCCCUUUAUUUUUCGAGUCUGUAGCUGCUGUUCCGCCAGCGGCAGCCUGAGCUGCCUUCCUUGCUGCCUUCUCUUCCAGCGCCUUCUUAUCCCUUCAGACAGAACAUAAAAUUUCAGGAUCAGACGAUUUUGAGAAAAAGAAGAAAAAGAUUGUCCCAACUUCCCUGCAAUGAGUAAAAUUAAUCUAUCCGUUUAGAACUUCAAAAUUAGUAAAUUAAGCUUGACUUUUUCCAGCAAUAAUCAUCUUACUCUUCAAUAAAUGCUUUUGCCCCCCACUUUUUUUUUUUCAUUCCUAAAGCUUUUAUUCUAUCGCUCAUCUAAUUUUACAUGCACAGUAUAUUCUAAACGAACAAUAGUAUAAGGGAGAAAAUUUAAACCACCUGAUCAAAAGCUUUUGUAGAAAAGCAUAUAUAAUCAAAAUUAAAAGUGUACAAGGACAACAAUAUCCACGGUACCAACACUUUGUAGUAGUAUAAUCGCAUUUGCCCCUCACACAAAUCAUCAAAGAAAUAUUUUUCUUUAAAAAAAAAAAUAGAACUUUAAGAUACAAUAAUAAACAAUUAGACGAAUAUAAUACUAAAUAAACUGAAAAAGAGGGGAGUUUAAAAAAAAAAAAAAAAAAAAAAAAAAAAAAAAAAAAAAAAAAAAAAAAAAAAAAAANACUUUUGUUUAAAAAGAAGGAAUGUGAUUGGCUUGUUAUUGAUGACGUGGUGCAAGUGUGACAGUGUAGAAUUCCUCCUGUUCAGGGGUGAGGCCAUCUUCCUUCCCCUUGACCGCGGGCUUCCUCGCCUGCGCUCUCGCGCGAUCCCUCUCCCUCUGAUCUCCGCGUAAUCCAUCAUCCCCAGCAUCAAAUUAAGGAAAAUUACAUAAUAAUAAUCCCCAAACCAAAUAAAAGAAAACAAAAUGAAUCCACAAAAAAGAAAAAAAAAAUACAGCUAACCAAGUUCAGGAAAGAGAAAAAAUUGGUGGAAAAGAUGAUGAUGAUGAUGAUGAUGAUCGGAACGAUCGGAAGAGGAUAUGAGUCAUUGUAUCGUUCUCCGGAUUGGUUGAGAUCGGUGACGAAUUAUGAGGAGGAGGAGAAGUAGAGAGUCGUAGGGAUAGAGAAAAUAAAAUUGCGGAGAAUACGGAAGGGAGGAGGCGAUUUAAAGGGGGAUGGAAAUUAUCUAUUAUUAUUAUUAUUAUUAUUAUUAUAAUUAUAAUUAUAAUAAUAAUAAGUUGCAAAGUG
This 1445-nucleotide long non-coding RNA is filed under the name Ananas comosus (pineapple). Its description in RNAcentral is "long non-coding RNA (ACOM_LNC030359)". The record is from RNAcentral. Lineage: Eukaryota; Viridiplantae; Streptophyta; Magnoliopsida; Poales; Bromeliaceae.